This 1625-nucleotide ribosomal RNA is filed under the name human gut metagenome. RNAcentral describes it as "bacterial LSU rRNA". It matches the Rfam family "Bacterial large subunit ribosomal RNA", at positions 1419 to 2925 of the family's 2925-position model. The record is from RNAcentral.
GGAUGAACGGGUGGAUAUUCCCGUACCGGCAGCGAACCGCAAGAGCCGAACGGAUGAGUACUAACCUCCGGUCGCGUGGCGUCGUUCCCUUCGGGGUUCGGUGUCCGCGAUUGUUGGGAGCGUAGUCCUGGUAGGUUAGCGCACAGGGGUGACACGGAAUGGGAGCCGGCCGCGGAGGUGGUUUUCCGUGGUCAAGCACGCAGCCCGUCCCAUAGGCAAAUCCGUGGGACGUAUGGGGUGAGGUGCGAUGAUGGGCGCCUUUUGGCGCGAUAUCCGGUGGUCCAGGCCGUCGAGAAAAGCCUCGGCGCGAGGGGCGUUGCCGCCCGUACCCCAAACCGACACUGGUGGUCAGGUAGAGAAUACCAAGGCGAUCGAGCGAAUCCUGGUCAAGGAACUCGGCAAAUCACUCCCGUGCCUUCGGUAUAAGGGAGACCCCCGGACGUGAAGAGGCUUGCCCUCGGAGCGUCGGGGGGUGGCACAGACCAGGGGGUAGCGACUGUUUACCAAAAACACAGGUGCAUGCGAAGGCGCAAGCCGCUGUAUAUGCACUGACGCCUGCCCGGUGCCGGAAGGUUAAGAGGAUCCGUCAGCCCUCGGGUGAAGCGGUGAAUUCAAGCCCCGGUAAACGGCGGUGGUAACUAUAACCAUCCUAAGGUAGCGAAAUUCCUUGUCGGGUAAGUUCCGACCUGCACGAAUGGCGUAACGACUUCCCCACUGUCUCGACCAGGAGCUCGGCGAAAUUGCAGUACGAGUAAAGAUGCUCGUUAAGCGCAGAAGGACGAAAAGACCCCGGGACCUUUACUAUACCUUGGUAUUGGCGUUAGGCGCGGAUUGUGUAGCAUAGGCGGGAGGCUUCGAAGCGCGGGCGCCAGCCCGUGUGGAGCCGCAAGGUGAAAUACCGCUCUGUUCUCGUUUGACGUCUAACCUCGGCAAGUCAUCCUUGUCAGGGACAGUGCCUGGCGGGUAGUUUAACUGGGGCGGUUGCCUCCCAAAGAGUAACGGAGGCGCUCAAAGGUCCGCUCAGCCCGGUUGGCAAUCGGGUUUCGAGUGUAAUCGCACAAGCGGGCUUGACUGCGAGAGCGACGGUUCGAGCAGGGACGAAAGUCGGAGAUAGUGAUCCGGUGCCGGCGCACGGGCGCGGCAUCGCUCAACGGAUAAAAGGUACCCCGGGGAUAACAGGCUGAUCAUUCCCAAGAGUCCAUAUCGACGGGAUGGUUUGGCACCUCGAUGUCGGCUCGUCGCAUCCUGGGGCUGGAGCAGGUCCCAAGGGUUCGGCUGUUCGCCGAUUAAAGCGGCACGCGAGCUGGGUUCAGAACGUCGUGAGACAGUUUGGUCUCUAUCCUCUGCGCUCGUUGGAAUCCUGAGGAGGCCUGCCCAUAGUACGAGAGGACCUGGGUGGACGGACCUCUGGUAUGCCGGUUGUCGCGCCAGCGGCAUGGCCGGUUGGCUACGUUCGGGAGGGAUAACCGCUGAAAGCAUCUAAGCGGGAAGCCUGCUCCAAGAUUAGGAUUCCUUGGCACUUCGGUGCCUGUAGCCCGCAUGUGGAACACGUGUUCGAUAGGCCGGAGGUGGAAGCCCCGCGAGGGGUGGAGCCGACCGGUACUAACGGGCGAUCGCGGCACAUU